RNAcentral lists this ribosomal RNA (473 nucleotides) under uncultured bacterium. RNAcentral describes it as "SSU rRNA". It matches the Rfam family "Bacterial small subunit ribosomal RNA", at positions 26 to 518 of the family's 1533-position model. The record is from RNAcentral.
AGGAUAAACGCUGGCGGCGUGCCUAAUGCAUGCAAGUCGAACGGGGUAGUCUUUCGGGACUAUCGAGUGGCGGACGGGUGAGGAACACGUACGAGACCUGCCCUUGGAUGGGGAAUAACCCUCCGAAAGGGGGGCUAAUGCCGCAUACGGUCCCAGGCAGCAAGGCUUGGGAGGAAAGCCCGAGAGGGCGUCCGAGGAGGGGCGUGCGGCCGAUUAGCUAGUUGGUGGGGUAAAGGCCUACCAAGGCGACGAUCGGUAGCUGGUCUGAGAGGAUGGUCAGCCACACUGGGACUGAGAUACGGCCCAGACUCCUACGGGAGGCAGCAGCAGGGAAUCUUGCGCAAUGGGCGAAAGCCUGACGCAGCAACGCCGCGUGGGUGAAGAAGGCUCUCGGGUCGUAAAGCCCUUUUCUCAGGGACGAUAAUGACGGUACCUGAGGAAUAAGUCACGGCUAACUACGUGCCAGCAGCCGC